Molecule: long non-coding RNA, 1273 nt
Filed under: Mytilus galloprovincialis (Mediterranean mussel)
Lineage: Eukaryota; Metazoa; Mollusca; Bivalvia; Mytilida; Mytilidae
Source: RNAcentral
CUUUAACUGACGACCUGCCCCAUAGGUACAUGUAAUUAGUACAUAUAACGUCUUUACGGUGAUUUGUCACUUUGAUGGAUUAAAUGAUUCAAAAACGUGUGAAAAUAUAAACAGUUACAAAACGCCGCUUCAAUUGACAGUGUCAGAAAGGCUUUGAUGAAACAUUGUUACAAACUAUCAUUUCCAGUUACAAAAGACCGCCUUUACUGACCGUGUCAUUCGGGUUUUAAAAAAGAAAUAGUUAGAAUCCAACGUGUCCAGUUAUAAAAGACCGCUUUUACUGACUGUGCCAUUAGAUUUUAAAAUGAGAAAUAACUAGAAACCACCGUGUACAGUGACAAAAUGCCAUUUUUACUGACCGUGCCAUUAUGGUUUUGAAAAAGAAAUAGUUUGAAACCACUGUGUCCAGUUACAAAAGAUCGCUUUUACUGACCGUGUCAUUAAUAAGGUUUUGAAAAAGAAAAGUUAGAAACCACCGAGUCCAGUUACAAAAGGCUGACUGAGCCAUUACGGUUUAAAAAAAGAAAUACUUUGAAAUAAUCGUAUCAAUUUACAAAAGACCGCUUUAACUGACCGUGCCAUUUGAGUUUUAAAAAGAAAAAGGGGACUCUGCGAGGUCUACGUACUUACUACUGUUACAACUAGCAAGUCAACACUGUGGUUAUGGGUUCGAACCCCGCUCGUACGGGUCCACCCGACUCCAAUCUUGAUUGACUAGAAAUAUCAGUUUUUCUAUCGCAGGUCGGUGGGUUUUUUUCCGGAUGCACCGGCUUCCUCUGCCAUUAAAAACUGUCCGCAGCGAAAAAGCCCCAAAGCGGUGCCUAAAAGUGGCGUUAAAACACAGAAAAUAGAUGAAUAACAAAAAAAUAGAUAAAAUCAAACGUGUCCAGUUACAAAACGCCGUUUUUACUGACCGUGUCAUGCGGAUGUUAUAAAAGAAAUAGUUAGAAUCUGACGUGUCAAGUAUCAAAAGGCGGCUUUCGCUGACUGUGUCAUGAUGGUUUGUAAAAAAGAAAAAGUUAGAAAGAAACGUCCUUAGUGACAGAAAGCCAUUUUUAUUGACCGUGGCAUGAAGAUUUUGAAGAAGAAAUAGUUAGAAACCACAUUGCCUAGUAACAAAAGGACUUUUGUCUGACCGUAUUAUGUAGGCUGAAAAGAAGAUUUAGUCAUUGACACAAUAGAUUCCAGUAUAAGAAGCCAUUUAUAAUAAUUUUCAAACAAAACGUCGUAUUUACGUAAUGAACAAUAAUAAACUGACGUGAACAUUAAAAAA